RNAcentral lists this ribosomal RNA (497 nucleotides) under uncultured bacterium. RNAcentral describes it as "partial 16S ribosomal RNA". It matches the Rfam family "Bacterial small subunit ribosomal RNA", at positions 28 to 507 of the family's 1533-position model. The record is from RNAcentral.
GAUGAACGCUGGCGGCGUGCCUAAUACAUGCAAGUCGAGCGAACAGACGAGGAGCUUGCUCCUCUGACGUUAGCGGCGGACGGGUGAGUAACACGUGGAUAACCUACCUAUAAGACUGGGAUAACUUCGGGAAACCGGAGCUAAUACCGGAUAAUAUAUUGAACCGCAUGGUUCAAUAGUGAAAGACGGUUUUGCUGUCACUUAUAGAUGGAUCCGCGCCGCAUUAGCUAGUUGGUAAGGUAACGGCUUACCAAGGCAACGAUGCGUAUCCGACCUGAGAGGGUGAUCGGCCACACUGGAACUGAGACACGGUCCAGACUCCUACGGGAGGCAGCAGUAGGGAAUCUUCCGAAAUGGGCGAAAGCCUGACGGAGCAACGCCGCGUGAGUGAUGAAGGUCUUCGGAUCGUAAAACUCUGUUAUUAGGGAAGAACAAAUGUGUAAGUAACUAUGCACGUCUUGACGGUACCUAAUCAGAAAGCCACGGCUAACUACGUG